CACGCCUGGCGGGACCGUUAGCUCAGUGAGGUGAGAGAGGUCUUCAGGGAUCUGGUUCUGGUUUGCAGGUUCCGACCCGGGCGGACUGGACGGGGCUCAGGUGAGUCGCCCAGAAGAGACUGGAAUGCCUGAUGAACUUUUCCAAAUGUUCUCCAGGUCUGCUGCCAGGGGUCAGUGGCAUUCAGGGAUGUGUCCAUAGACUUCUAUCAGGAGGAAUGGAAAUGCUUGGACUCUGGUCAGAUGAAUUUGUACAAAGAAAUGAUGUUGGAGAAUUUCAGCAACCUGGCUUCAGUGAGUAAGGAUAACUACCCCCAAAAUUCAGAGGGUGCCUACAGAAUGUCUCCUCUCUCCAUCAUAAAUUGUUUUCUUUAAGACACCAGCUGAAUUUCUGCUCCCUGUUCUCCAAAGAAUGGUUUGCAUUGGAGUGGAAUGGAAGAGUUGGAAAUGUGCAGCUCCAGUGGGUUGCAGCUGAAGCUUCAUCUUCUCCAUCUUUGGUCCUUCCUGUAGGGCAUUUCUUUCUUGAUCACCAAGGGACUGCAUCUAAUUUCUGGACACCCACAGCAUAACCCUGUCCCAUGUCUUUUCUUGUGAGCAGGACUUCAGUUCUAAGCCAGCUGUGAUCUCCUUAUUGGAACAAGGAAAAGAGCCCUGGAUGGUUGACAGAGAGCUGACCAGAGGCCUGUGUUCAGGUAAGUGGGAGAUGACAGAACCAUGAGGGAGCAUUACCUCUGAGAUGUUAUCAAGAAAUUCCUCUUUAAAUUAACCUAGAA
Molecule: non-coding RNA, 770 nt
Organism: Castor canadensis (American beaver)
Lineage: Eukaryota; Metazoa; Chordata; Mammalia; Rodentia; Castoridae
Source: RefSeq, a predicted model, not a curated record